GAUGAACGCUGGCGGCGUGCUUAACACAUGCAAGUCGAACGGAAAGGCUCCUGCUUGCAGGGGUACUCGAGUGGCGAACGGGUGAGUAACACGUGGGUGAUCUGCCCAGCACUUCGGGAUAAGCCUGGGAAACUGGGUCUAAUACCGGAUAGGACGAUGGUUUGGAUGCCAUUGUGGAAAGUUUUUUCGGUGUGGGAUGAGCUCGCGGCCUAUCAGCUUGUUGGUGGGGUAAUGGCCUACCAAGGCGUCGACGGGUAGCCGGCCUGAGAGGGUGUACGGCCACAUUGGGACUGAGAUACGGCCAGACUCCUACGGGAGGCAGCAGUGGGGAAUAUUGCACAAUGGGCGCAAGCCUGAUGCAGCGACGCCGCGUGGGGGAUGACGGCCUUCGGGUUGUAAACUCCUUUCGCUAGGGACGAAGCGCAAGUGACGGUACCUGGAGAAGAAGCACCGGCUAACUACGUG
RNAcentral lists this ribosomal RNA (465 nucleotides) under uncultured bacterium. RNAcentral describes it as "partial 16S ribosomal RNA". It matches the Rfam family "Bacterial small subunit ribosomal RNA", at positions 28 to 507 of the family's 1533-position model. The record is from RNAcentral.